RNAcentral lists this ribosomal RNA (1377 nucleotides) under uncultured bacterium. RNAcentral's name for it is "16S ribosomal RNA". It matches the Rfam family "Bacterial small subunit ribosomal RNA", at positions 18 to 1390 of the family's 1533-position model. The record is from RNAcentral.
CCUGGCUCACGAUGAACGCUAGCUACAGGCUUAACACAUGCAAGGCGAGGGGCAGCAUUUCAGUUUGCUUGCAAACUGGAGAUGGCGACCGGCGCACGGGUGAGUAACACGUAUCCAACCUGCCGAUAACUCGGGGAUAGCCUUUCGAAAGAAAGAUUAAUACCCGAUGGCAUAAUUAGACCGCAUGGUCUUAUUAUUAAAGAAUUUCGGUUAUCGAUGGGGAUGCGUUCCAUUAGGCAGUUGGUGAGGUAACGGCUCACCAAACCUUCGAUGGAUAGGGGUUCUGAGAGGAAGGUCCCCCACAUUGGAACUGAGACACGGUCCAAACUCCUACGGGAGGCAGCAGUGAGGAAUAUUGGUCAAUGGGCGCAGGCCUGAACCAGCCAAGUAGCGUGAAGGAUGACUGCCCUAUGGGUUGUAAACUUCUUUUAUAUGGGAAUAAAGUUUUCCACGUGUGGAAUUUUGUAUGUACCAUAUGAAUAAGGAUCGGCUAACUCCGUGCCAGCAGCCGCGGUAAUACGGAGGAUCCGAGCGUUAUCCGGAUUUAUUGGGUUUAAAGGGAGCGUAGGUGGAUAGUUAAGUCAGUUGUGAAAGUUUGCGGCUCAACCGUAAAAUUGCAGUUGAUACUGGCUGUCUUGAGUACAGUAGAGGUGGGCGGAUUCGUGGUGUAGCGGUGAAAUGCUUAGAUAUCACGAAGAACUCCGAUUGCGAAGGCAGCUCACUGGACUGCAACUGACACUGAUGCUCGAAAGUGUGGGUAUCAAACAGGAUUAGAUACCCUGGUAGUCCACACAGUAAACGAUGAAUACUCGCUGUUUGCGAUAUACAGUAAGCGGCCAAGCGAAAGCAUUAAGUAUUCCACCUGGGGAGUACGCCGGCAACGGUGAAACUCAAAGGAAUUGACGGGGGCCCGCACAAGCGGAGGAACAUGUGGUUUAAUUCGAUGAUACGCGAGGAACCUUACCCGGGCUUAAAUUGCAUUUGAAUAAUCUGGAAACAGGUUAGCCGUAAGGCAAAUGUGAAGGUGCUGCAUGGUUGUCGUCAGCUCGUGCCGUGAGGUGUCGGCUUAAGUGCCAUAACGAGCGCAACCCUUAUCUUUAGUUACUAACAGGUUAUGCUGAGGACUCUAGAGAGACUGCCGUCGUAAGAUGUGAGGAAGGUGGGGAUGACGUCAAAUCAGCACGGCCCUUACGUCCGGGGCUACACACGUGUUACAAUGGGGGGUACAGAAGGCAGCUACCUGGUGACAGGAUGCUAAUCCCAAAAGCCUCUCUCAGUUCGGAUCGAAGUCUGCAACCCGACUUCGUGAAGCUGGAUUCGCUAGUAAUCGCGCAUCAGCCAUGGCGCGGUGAAUACGUUCCCGGGCCUUGUACACAC